RNAcentral lists this unclassified non-coding RNA (685 nucleotides) under Haliotis rubra (blacklip abalone). RNAcentral's name for it is "uncharacterized LOC124255007, transcript variant X3". Lineage: Eukaryota; Metazoa; Mollusca; Gastropoda; Lepetellida; Haliotidae. The record is from RNAcentral.
UCUAAGACAACAAAAAUUACUCAAACAAGCUCUGAAAAUUAAACACAUACAGUCUGAAACGAUUACACUGCGGUAUAACGAAGAUCAUCGGGAUACACACCGCGGUAAAAUGAAGAGCAUUGGGAUCACGUGAAUCUGCACAUGCAGCAUGCCGUGUCAUGCUCAACAUCCGGGUACCUCGGCCGCAUGGUCUCAUCAGUUGACUGAAAGAUACGGUAACGAACAUGUCUGACGGCCGAUCCUAUCUGUGUUACACAGAAGAUGUGUCUAAAACUAACCAGGGAGGAAUGACCCAGAGGAAGCUUAAACCUAAAGUAGUUCCAGCCUACGAAAAUGAUGAUUCAACGAGAUGUUACGUCCGACUUUACCAAAAGUACAAGUCGCUGUGGUCAUAUGAGCAAAGCUGUACAGCGAACCUACAAAAGAAGCAAUGACGCCAAGAAGGCCCUUGUUUCCGACAUAGUUGCAAAGAAUCCCAGAAUUUCUGCUGAUCCCCAAAACUGCACCACCACCACCACCACGAAAACUGAGAAGUUGACUGCAUCGGAAUCUGCUACCAAACCCACUGCAGAGAGAAUACAACAGGGUUGGAUGCUCAUCUCGAGCGUGGAAACAUUUCCGUUACCUUCAAUUUUCACUAAAUUACGUGUUCAAUGACUAUUCAGAAAUAAAGUGGCCAAGUUUG